GUUGGCUUCAUACACAGUUUACAUAUACUACAGAAUUUAUCAGCACUAUCAAAUAAAUGGUUUUCAAUCCAUUGAAAGGAAGUCAUGUUUGUUGCAAUAUAUUGUUCGUGGUAGACACUGGGAAAAAAACCAACUAUUGAAUGUGUAUUUAUUUGUCUCCUGGUACAAAACUGAUGGAAGAGCAGCCAUGAUGAAGCAGUAAAAAGGUUCUUGGAUACCUUGCUUCAAUACCUCUGGUUGGACAAGAAAAGACCUGGCUAAGGAUAGUAGAGGGUCAAAUAAUUUAUCACCAAGAAAGUUACUGAUUUAAACCGAAUCCUGUAACGCGAAAGAUUCUUAAUUAUGCUAAGUGUGCAAU
Molecule: long non-coding RNA, 358 nt
Organism: Anneissia japonica
Lineage: Eukaryota; Metazoa; Echinodermata; Crinoidea; Comatulida; Comatulidae
Exons: 3
Source: RefSeq, a predicted model, not a curated record